UCAGCUUGGCAACGCUGCAUUGUUGUCAUCUAAGUUUUUAGGUUAGGUUACAUGUAAACAAACGUUUUGUCUCAGGUUUUCACACACACACUGAGAACUCCAAUCUUGAAGUUUUAAUCUUAUUUCAAUCUCAAACUAAUAUAUAAUGUUUACUUAUCGUGCCUGAACUUGCCCGUGUUCUUUUAGGUUUGAACGGUUGAGUUGAAUUAAUGGAGAACAGCGGUUAUUUAAACUUGUAACACACCGUAUUCAUUACUUACUUACUAUCGUAAGUACCAGCACCAGCUACUUACGAAGUUCUAGGUUCACUAUCCUUACAUCGUUUUUUAUCUGUAAGGAAAGGAUCUUAAAGUUGUUUUCAAAAGUUUACUCAUGAGGCGUUGUGACUGAUUUAACAGGUUAGCGUCAUGAUCACCCUGUAGCCAACGUUUCGAUUACAACUGAAAAACAUGAUUUCUGAGACCGGCAAUUCUAGAGGAGUCAUCCUGACAUCUGCUCUUAUUGUUCCAAGCUUUCAAAUCAUUUGAGACUGGUGCCUUAGGCCUUGAAGCUAACUAUCAGGAUAUUGCUACCCCAUGACAAAGGCAAUCGGAAUUAUGACCCCACUACUGGACAUUGAAAGACUGUGCACAAAAGAAGAGGGGUCAUCCACUUCCCCUAAAUCUGUUAUUAAUUAUGAGUCUGGACUACAUCAGUUCUCUCAGUAAUCGCCUUUUCGUGAUUUUAAAAAAAAUCCCUGGGACAGUCCAGCCUCUCUCCCCCCCCUCCCCGCCCCCCAUAGUGGCAACUUCUCAAGAAAAACCCUGCAUUUUUCCUGCCCUGACUCAGGUUGACAGAUGGUGA
Molecule: long non-coding RNA, 843 nt
Filed under: Bemisia tabaci
Lineage: Eukaryota; Metazoa; Arthropoda; Insecta; Hemiptera; Aleyrodidae
Description: lncRNA ENSSWEETPG004129
Source: RNAcentral